Molecule: transfer RNA, 66 nt
Filed under: Thalassiosira minuscula
Lineage: Eukaryota; Bacillariophyta; Thalassiosirophyceae; Thalassiosirales; Thalassiosiraceae
Rfam family: tRNA
About the family: Transfer RNA (tRNA) molecules are approximately 80 nucleotides in length.
Source: RNAcentral
GGUAUAGCUCAGAUGGUAGAGCUCAGGACAUGUCAUCCUGCGGUCGGGGGUUCGGGUCCCCCUAUC